CCCCUGGUGGCUAUGCUGGGAAUCCAGUUCCUUGGGGACCACCUGUACCUCCACCAUAUGCCUCUUACCCGCCUCCUCCUCCUGGCUCAACCAUGUAUUCUCCUGGUCCAGGUCAAUUUGUUCCUCCAUAUGGUGCACAGUAUCCUCCACCAAUGCCACCGCCAUCUUCUGGUGUCCCUGCUCAAACCGUUUCUUCUGGUGAAAACCAACAAAAUUACAGCUCUUCUGGCGAGACACAACAAAGUUAUCCUCCCGGAGUGCAAUCACAUAAUAGUGCACCUGUUCAAUCUCUUCCCACCUAUGCCUAUGGCAAUUCUGUCACUGCAAUGCCACACAAUGCCCAACCUGCAUACCCAACAUCUUCAUACAGCUAUCCUUCUUAUUAUGGCAUGGCACCACCACCUCCUCCAACUGCGUCACAGUCCAAUGUGGAUCAUUCACAGAGUAUGAGCAAUGUUCCCUGGGCCUCAAAUCCACCAGAACCUGCACCUGCCCCUCCGCCUCCGCCUCCACCAUCAUCUUCUGAGAAACCUCCCUAUGGUACAGAUGCAGAAUACGAAAAGUUCAUGGCAGAGAUGAAAUGAUGAUUGCAGU
This 594-nucleotide long non-coding RNA is filed under the name Nicotiana tabacum (common tobacco). Its description in RNAcentral is "long non-coding RNA (NTAB_LNC003310)". The record is from RNAcentral. Lineage: Eukaryota; Viridiplantae; Streptophyta; Magnoliopsida; Solanales; Solanaceae.